AUUCGCGCGAAGAUACGUGGUUUGACAGACCUUUCUUUCUGACUGAAACGGUAAACUAUUGUGACCAUGUUUAAUCUGGAAGUGAACUUCUCUGGGUCUCUGCUCACACCGAAGAGCCUACUCAUUUUCCUUUAGGCUGCUUGAUCGACGGCGAUGGUUACGGGACAAUCUUUCGGCCACAGAGAACACGUGAUUGGACCUGCCUAACCUUUUCAAAGAGACAUUUAAUCAAAGACCCGUCCUACCCUUCUACCCCUUCCCCUUACAGUGUUAUUGAAGCUGACGCGUGCAGACGGGAGGGGUGCAAACGGCAGAGCCGCUGAAAUAAAACAAGUGUCUCGCCUAUAAAUACCGGUAGAACAUUUCUACUCCAUCUUCACCCUCUCUGUCUGGUCCCUUUAGCGAAGAGGACCAACAGAGCGCAGGACUGGAAUUAAUUAGCCAUCGGAAAGCUAGGAAAGGAAAUUAAAAUCUAACCGAUGCGGAGAGGCUGAUCUCUCCUGACCCUCUGUUAGAAUGACAGUGUUCAGUGGUGCGGAAGCCGCUUCCAUAGAUAGUGUCAAUCAACUGAUGAGGUUGGUUCGUACGUUUAAUGUAAUCAGCAAAUGCCCCUCAACGUUUUCAGAAAUGUGCCUGGAGAUAUUUGAGGGGAUGUAAUAAGCAGGAAAGACAACGAUCUCGGAAGGUGCGCCGUUUUUCAAUUAGCGAAGCAACAGGUGAAGCGAUUUACCUCCAGGGAUUGCGUGAAAAGGAUAGCAUAGAUAGGCUGACAGGGAUCACGCUGCAAAUGAACAAUUAAAACUGUUAAAGCAUCAUCGACAAGGCAACAACAGCAAAAAGAAAAAAGGCGUUGAUGAUAUGAACAUGAAAAUAUAUGAAUCACUGCACGAAUAGUAUACAUGGCCCUAAUGGUGGAUACUUAAAUUUAUCUGUAUACACCAUUCAAUAAUACCGAAUAAGCCACUUAAUGCACAACCAUUUUCGAAGUGCUUUAAUGCGUCACGGAUACUAAAUGCGACGUUAAUAUAACUGCUGCUAUGUUGAUUUCACUACAAUAACAGAGAAGGAUAUGCAGCACGGACGUGUGAUUCCAAACCAGAGUGAUGCAGACCGAAGCCCUGCCUAAGAGAGGAAAGGCAGCUGAAUCACCAGGGAGACGCAAGUUGCUGAAGAGGGGCAGUUACAGCAGCCCAGUGAGAGGCCGGAGGGUGUGAUUUCCUGCCUAAUCAUCAUCACAAGAAGCAAAGAUCGCAGCCCAUCGAGAAACACAAGAGCUGCUCCAAAACUGUGAAGCCCGGCAUUAAGCGUGGCUGAUCUGCCCAGGGCUGCAGAAUCAGCUGGGAGCCGGUGGCUAUAAUGUAAGAUGUGAACAUUAAGUGCUUCCUGCUGAUUUCCUCUCAUAGGAAAGUGGUGCUGUUGUUCCAAUUUCCUCAAGUACUGUGCUUGCGCUUACAGCAUAAUAUAUUGAUCAAUAUAUUGGAUGAUUGAUAUAUGAAAUAAGCAAUAUAUUGGGCCAAUAAUCACAUUUUGAACCAUAUCUAUAUCGGUAAUCAAGGACACUGUGUUAGAUAUAGAGGACUAAUAUUUAUGUAACUGUUUCUGUAAAAUGGUGAAACAUACAGAAUUUAACUACGUUGAAAUAAAUCUAAUUGCCAGU
Molecule: long non-coding RNA, 1657 nt
Organism: Anguilla rostrata (American eel)
Lineage: Eukaryota; Metazoa; Chordata; Actinopteri; Anguilliformes; Anguillidae
Exons: 2
Source: RefSeq, a predicted model, not a curated record